Bombus pascuorum is the source of this 1605-nucleotide long non-coding RNA. RefSeq lists it as uncharacterized. The transcript has 4 exons. NCBI's taxonomy places the organism in Eukaryota, Metazoa, Arthropoda, Insecta, Hymenoptera, Apidae. The record is from RefSeq and is a predicted model, not a curated record.
CUCGUGUCUCUUGCCUUUUAAAUAAAGUUGUAUCAUGUAGGCUGUUACAGAAUAGCGACUAAAUAUUUUCAGUCGAAUAAGAAGAAGCAAAGGUGGCACAACGAAAAUGUUAAAACUUCGAUUUUCUUCAAUUUCGAGGAAAUAAAACAUUUGAAUUGAAAUGGUUAGAGAGAUGGCAGAGUUUAAGAUGUAGAAACAGGUACAUUUUCCACGUUAAAUGUUAUUUUCUGUUACCAACUCGUCGAAUUAAACUAUACGAAAACUUGAACAAAAGAUUCAUAGACGUCAUUUGCUUCCUUUAUCUUCAUCUUGAGAACGAAACCGUACGAUAUUCUUCAGAAGAAUCCAGAGACAUCGUCCUACCAGAAACAAACGUCAGCAAGUUAAACGCGAUCUUGAAGCGCCGCUUAUUCACCGAUGAAUCCAACAGCAAGAGAAUGGAGUGGAAUUCACGAACGCUAACGUAGAAAUAACCACGAGACGUUGGUCGAUUUUAGCUUCGUAGCAAACUAGUUAGCGAACUUGAGGUUGUUCGACGAUUGUUAAGGCGUACAAAACGUCUCACACAACUUGAACGGCGGAUGAUUCUAAGACAAUUUUAUCGUACGACAGUGAAAAAAAGUAAACGAAAGAUUUGUUAAACAACAGUUGGACGAUGAUAUUUGGCGUCGUUGACGUUUUAAAUGAAGACCAAAGAUGGAACGUUUAACGAAACGCUUUAAAAGCCAACCAUCCAUUCAUUCUGACGUUGAGGAAGAGGUAUCUGGAUGAAGAAUAGGAUCGUGGUGAGAGUAGAGCAUUAAACGUGGCAUUAAGCCAGCGAUCGCUUCAUCGGACAGAGCGAACAGGCUGCUACAGGCAGUAUAAUGAAUCAUUAAUGUCCAGUUAUCGCUGAAAUCGAUCGCGAGAAGCGACGAAUUCAACGAGCUAAAAACCAGGGAUAAAAGCCAGCCUCCUUUCUCGACGCAAGAUUCCAAAUUUCAGAGUAAACAACGCGACGAAAAAAUAUCCCGAAAGAAGAAGUUGGAGUUUGUCAUUCAAUAGCAGUAUCGUCGAUGAUUAAUACCCUUGAAAAUGUCCCCAAAAACUAGACUAACCCUCCAACUUUCGCUGCGUCCCGGGUUCGAAAGUCAAAGCCGAAGGGAGACAUUGCGUCCAAGGAAACGAAGAAAAAUGCGAGGAAAGCGAGGGACAGUGGGAUAUGUAUGAGGUGGACGGUUAAAAGGAAGGGGAAAAGAAAGGGAGAUCCAUUAUCGUCGUUGAUGACGCGACUCGGUAUGGAGGAGAAACGUAAAAGCUAGAAGCGUUGGUUAAAUUUGAUUUAAAAUAAAAGUAAAGAAUAACAGGUAGAAACGGUGUGCUGCGUGCAACGAUUUUAAAUAGAAUAACGCAAUUUAAAAAUAAUUUAAUUCGUUAUAAAUGCGUACCUCCCCUAUGCUCCGAUUAUAAAUAACAAAACGAGGACUUUAUUCCUGGAACUAAACAUCAUCUCCAUUGAGGAUUGUUAUUUCAGUAAACAUCUAAAUAUUAAUAAACUCAUUUUGUAAUUUUGUACGGCUCUGAUAUAAUCGACAGGGUAGAAAUAGAAAUUAUUAUUUCAAGAAA